UAGGGAAUCUUCCACAAUGGACGCAAGUCUGAUGGAGCAACGCCGCGUGAGUGAAGAAGGUUUUCGGAUCGUAAAGCCCCGUUGUUGGUGAAGAAGGAUAGAGGCAGUAACUGGUCUUUAUUUGACGGUAAUCAACCAGAAAGUCACGGCUAACUACGUGCCAGCAGCCGCGGUAAUACGUAUGUGGCAAGCGUUGUCCGGAUCUAUUGGGGGUAAAGCGAGCGCAGGCGGAAUGUUAAGUCUGAUGUGAAAGCCCACGGCUCAACCGUGGAACUGCAUCGGAAACUGUAAUUCUUGAGUGCAGAAGAGGAGAGUGGAAUUCCAUGUGUAGCGGUGGAAUGCGUAGAUAUAUGGAAGAACACCAGUGGCGAAGGCGGCUCUCUGGUCUGCAACUGACGCUGAGGCUCGAAAGCAUGGGUAGCGAACAGG
RNAcentral lists this ribosomal RNA (429 nucleotides) under bacterium. RNAcentral describes it as "partial 16S ribosomal RNA". It matches the Rfam family "Bacterial small subunit ribosomal RNA", at positions 355 to 776 of the family's 1533-position model. The record is from RNAcentral.